AUGCGACGACUACACCAAGCUCAUAACCUACCAUGGCUCCUGGUGGGUGACCUUAAUGAAAUCAUGUACCUUCAUGAGAAAGAAGGAGGCAAUCCGUGCCCGCUCCAAUACAUGCAAGCAUUCCAUGAAGUUGUUGAGGACUGUGAGCUGCAUGAUCUUGGGUACCUCGGUGAUCCAUAUACAUGGCGUCGAGGUCGGAUCAGGGAACGUCUUGAUAGAGGGCUUGUGAAUGAUUUGUGGUCUGCCCGUUUCCUCCACGCGGCACUACAGAAUAUGGAGUUCAAUCACUCAGACCACAGACCGCUCCUUGUGGAUACUGAGUACUAUGUACAACCACCGAGUGGAACGAACAAUAUUCAUGCCAAAAGAUUCGAAGCUCGGUGGCUGAGGGAAAAGAAAUUUGAUGAAAAAGUGAUGAAUGCAUGGAACGAGGCAGGGAUAGAUCCCAAUGUCACGAACAUACAUGAAAAACUCAAUAAAAUGCAUGCUAGCUUCCAUGACUGGUGUUAA
This 510-nucleotide ribosomal RNA is filed under the name Triticum aestivum (bread wheat). RNAcentral describes it as "partial small subunit ribosomal RNA". The record is from RNAcentral. Lineage: Eukaryota; Viridiplantae; Streptophyta; Magnoliopsida; Poales; Poaceae.